UACGGAGGGUGCAAGCGUUAUCCGGAAUCACUGGGUUUAAAGGGUGCGUAGGCGGAAGAAUAAGUCAGAGGUGAAAUCCCGUCGCUUAACGACGGAACUGCCUUUGAUACUGUUUUUCUUGAAUGAGGUUGAGGUUAGCGGAAUGUGGCAUGUAGCGGUGAAAUGCAUAGAUAUGCCAUAGAACACCGAUUGCGAAGGCAGCUAACUGGACCUUUAUUGACGCUGAGGCACGAAAGCGUGGGGAGCGAACAGG
RNAcentral lists this ribosomal RNA (253 nucleotides) under uncultured bacterium. Its description in RNAcentral is "partial 16S ribosomal RNA". It matches the Rfam family "Bacterial small subunit ribosomal RNA", at positions 524 to 776 of the family's 1533-position model. The record is from RNAcentral.